RNAcentral lists this ribosomal RNA (464 nucleotides) under Vreelandella stevensii. RNAcentral describes it as "partial 16S ribosomal RNA". It matches the Rfam family "Bacterial small subunit ribosomal RNA", at positions 338 to 795 of the family's 1533-position model. The record is from RNAcentral. Lineage: Bacteria; Pseudomonadati; Pseudomonadota; Gammaproteobacteria; Oceanospirillales; Halomonadaceae.
CCUACGGGUGGCUGCAGUGGGUAAUAUUGGACAAUGGGGGGAACCCUGAUCCAGCCAUGCCGCGUGUGUGAAGAAGGCCCUCGGGUUGUAAGCACUUUCAGUGAGGAAGAACGCCUGGUGGUUAAUACCCAUCAUGAAAGACAUCACUCACAGAAGAAGCACCGGCUAACUCCGUGCCAUCAGCCGCGGUAAUACGGAGGGUGCGAGCGUUAAUCGGAAUUACUGGGCGUAAAGCGCGCGUAGGUGGCUUGAUAAGCCGGUUGUGAAAGCCCCGGGCUCAACCUGGGAACGGCAUCCGGAACUGUCAAGCUAGAGUGCAGGAGAGGAAGGUAGAAUUCCCGGUGUAGCGGUGAAAUGCGUAGAGAUCGGGAGGAAUACCAGUGGCGAAGGCGGCCUUCUGGACUGACACUGACACUGAGGUGCGAAAGCGUGGGUAGCAAACAGGAUUAGAUACCCUAGUAGUC